GAGAUACCCUUAGGAGCAGGACUUGCUUCUGUGGGGCUUUGGUGCUCACUGAGUCUUCCCUUUGAGUGUGUCACU
RNAcentral lists this microRNA precursor (75 nucleotides) under Myotis davidii. RNAcentral describes it as "mir-9229 microRNA precursor family". It matches the Rfam family "mir-9229 microRNA precursor family". Lineage: Eukaryota; Metazoa; Chordata; Mammalia; Chiroptera; Vespertilionidae. The record is from Rfam by way of RNAcentral.